This is a long non-coding RNA of Cyprinodon tularosa, 414 nucleotides long. RefSeq lists it as uncharacterized. NCBI's taxonomy places the organism in Eukaryota, Metazoa, Chordata, Actinopteri, Cyprinodontiformes, Cyprinodontidae. The transcript has 4 exons. The record is from RefSeq and is a predicted model, not a curated record.
GGUGAGGUGCUUUCCAGUCCCCACCUGAGGACGGCACAGAGAAAGACUGGAACAGAAAACACACGGAGGAAAGCAGGUUGAACAGCUAGCAGUGUUCUAGCAGUCGGAUCACAUUGGAACAGAAUCCAUCCACACAUGUUUGGAGGAGCUGAAGAAGAGGACGGAGCACACAGUCCACUAAGGAGGAGAAACAUGGCUCCUCUAUUUGUCUCUCCAACAUUCUGGAGUCUAAAAAACGUUGACGACCUCGCAGCUAAACCAUCAGUCUGCUACACCCAGGAGAAGAAGAUAAGGUCAUCUGCUCCUUGGACCGGUGUCUAUGUGAUUGGCUGUGCUUUCUUGGAUUGAAUUCUGUGAAUGCUAUGAUAAACUGUAUUUAUCUUUACCAUAUUGUAAAUAGGAUCCAACCGGAUG